RNAcentral lists this long non-coding RNA (321 nucleotides) under Gossypium barbadense (sea-island cotton). Its description in RNAcentral is "long non-coding RNA (GBAR_LNC013475)". The record is from RNAcentral. Lineage: Eukaryota; Viridiplantae; Streptophyta; Magnoliopsida; Malvales; Malvaceae.
GGGAAACUAAGAAUUUUUUAUUUUAUUGUAUUUAAUUUCAUGUUCAAUUUAUAUGAACUUUCUUAUCUUAUUAACGGAUUUAUCAUUUUCUUUCCAACUAUCUUACUUAUUUCAACACUAACAAAAUACCAAAGCAUUCGCCAAACAAAAGUCUUUAACUUUACCUGAGGGACUAAACCAGGUCUGGUGUAUUAUGCAUAUAGGGCUAACUCUAAUCUUAACUUCUAAAGGAUUGACUAAAUCGAAAACUCUGAUACCAAUAAAAUUGUAACACCUUAUACCCAACUCAAUUUAUCGAGCCCAAAUAUAGGAUGCCACCAG